RNAcentral lists this ribosomal RNA (253 nucleotides) under uncultured bacterium. RNAcentral describes it as "partial 16S ribosomal RNA". It matches the Rfam family "Bacterial small subunit ribosomal RNA", at positions 524 to 776 of the family's 1533-position model. The record is from RNAcentral.
UACAGAGGGGGCAAGCGUUGUUCGGAAUUACUGGGCGUAAAGGGCGCGUAGGCGGCCUUCUAAGUCGAACGUGAAAUCCCCGGGCUCAACCCGGGAACUGCGUCCGAGACUGAAAGGCUCGAAUCCGGGAGAGGGAUGUGGAAUUCCAGGUGUAGCGGUGAAAUGCGUAGAUAUCGGGAGGAACACCUGCGGCGAAGGCGGCUUCCUGGACUGCAACUGACGCUGAGGCGCGAAAGCUAGGGGAGCAAACAGG